AAUGAGCACAAAACACCAUCCAGUGUGGGUCCUUGGGCAAGAUCCCUCACGCUAAUGCCUACCCUCAUACAAUGAUGAGAAACAGUAAAAAUGAAUGACAUGCCGGCUCAGACGUCGCCCGGACAAACAAGGUCUGCGUCAGGUGCUGGGGAACCAGAGCACCUUGAUGAAAAAUGUGCUACUGGAACAAAGCGGAGAUGGGCGAGAUGCGAUAACAUGGCUCUGUUGGAAUGCUACUACUCAAGCAACCCUAGUCAGAGGGGUUACAUGCAGAGAAUGUGGGCUAAAUGGUUACUUCGAAACCCACAGUCACGGAGGAGGUCAUACCAGAGAUUGGGAGGCCAGCCCCAAUGAAUGAAAUGCUGAGCGAGGCAGCAACUGACCUGAAAGCUAAAAAAAAGCUGGGCAACCUAGAAACCGAUUACAACGGCUAUGUGAAGUACCACCUGAAAGUCUCAUGGAAAGUGUGAAUGCAGCACUGAGGGCGAUCCCUACCGUAACAAUCACGGAAACCAAUGAGCUGAUAUACGCUUCAGCACCAGUGAUCCUCGAGAUGCUUGGCUAUAAGAGCAACCAUUGAAGCCAUGAGAUAUGUUACCCACCAUGGAAAAGACAGUUGGAGGCUAAGAUCAAGGCGGCUCGGAAAGAUGUGAGUCAAUUGACGGAGGGCCAGAGAGGAGUGAUGAAAAGGCCGAUACCCGAGAGGUACAUCCAGAUGUCCAUACCUGAAGCACUCGAAACUGCCAAACAAAGGCUCCAAAGCCUUGUCCAGCCGCCGAAA
Long non-coding RNA from Hippocampus zosterae (dwarf seahorse), 781 nucleotides. RefSeq lists it as uncharacterized. The record is from RefSeq and is a predicted model, not a curated record. The transcript is spliced from 2 exons. Lineage: Eukaryota; Metazoa; Chordata; Actinopteri; Syngnathiformes; Syngnathidae.